This 253-nucleotide ribosomal RNA is filed under the name uncultured bacterium. Its description in RNAcentral is "partial 16S ribosomal RNA". It matches the Rfam family "Bacterial small subunit ribosomal RNA", at positions 524 to 776 of the family's 1533-position model. The record is from RNAcentral.
UACGGAGGGGGCUAGUGUUGUUCGGAAUUACUGGGCGUAAAGGGCGCGCAGGCGGCUUGGCAAGUCGAGUGUGAAAUCCCUUGGCUUAACUAAGGAAUGGCGCUCGAAACUACCUCGCUAGAGGACGGGAGAGGGAAGUGGAACUCUCGGUGUAGGGGUGAAAUCUGCAGAUAUCGAGAGGAACACCGGUGGCGAAGGCGGCUUCCUGGCCCGUAGCUGACGCUGAGGCGCGAAAGCGUGGGGAGCAAACAGG